RNAcentral lists this ribosomal RNA (253 nucleotides) under uncultured bacterium. RNAcentral describes it as "partial 16S ribosomal RNA". It matches the Rfam family "Bacterial small subunit ribosomal RNA", at positions 524 to 776 of the family's 1533-position model. The record is from RNAcentral.
UACGGAGGGUCCAAGCGUUAUCCGGAAUCAUUGGGUUUAAAGGGUUCGCAGGCUGUUUAUUAAGUCAGUGGUGAAAUCUCUCGGCUCAACCGAGAAACUGCCAUUGAUACUGAUAAACUUGAAUACAGUUGGAGUAGGCGGAAUGUGUAGUGUAGCGGUGAAAUGCUUAGAUAUUACACAGAACACCGAUAGCGAAGGCAGCUUACUAUACCAUUACUGACGUUCAGGCACGAAAGCGUGGGGAGCGAACAGG